Molecule: ribosomal RNA, 497 nt
Filed under: uncultured bacterium
Lineage: Bacteria
Description: partial 16S ribosomal RNA
Rfam family: Bacterial small subunit ribosomal RNA
Source: RNAcentral
GAUGAACGCUGGCGGCGUGCCUAAUACAUGCAAGUCGAGCGAACGGACGAGAAGCUUGCUUCUCUGAUGUUAGCGGCGGACGGGUGAGUAACACGUGGAUAACCUACCUAUAAGACUGGGAUAACUUCGGGAAACCGGAGCUAAUACCGGAUAAUAUUUUGAACCGCAUGGUUCAAAAGUGAAAGACGGUUUUGCUGUCACUUAUAGAUGGAUCCGCGCUGCAUUAGCUAGUUGGUAAGGUAACGGCUUACCAAGGCAACGAUGCAUAGCCGACCUGAGAGGGUGAUCGGCCACACUGGAACUGAGACACGGUCCAGACUCCUACGGGAGGCAGCAGUAGGGAAUCUUCCGCAAUGGGCGAAAGCCUGACGGAGCAACGCCGCGUGAGUGAUGAAGGUCUUCGGAUCGUAAAACUCUGUUAUUAGGGAAGAACUUAUGUGUAAGUAACUGUGCACAUCUUGACGGUACCUAAUCAGAAAGCCACGGCUAACUACGUG